CGUUUCUCUUCUCUUCUUGUUCCCAGGAGACUCGGCGAUGGCCCUGACCAUGCCUGCCCAGCGCCCUCUGCCCUCCAGGCCCCUGGCCUUCACAUGGACCCAGCGAGACCUUCCCCUCUUCUGGCCCUGAGAGCCUGGCCACGGCUGUGCUGCUUCUCCAGUGUGGACGCUGAGCUCUGCGGGACGUUCUGUCGGGGUUUUACCUGUGAACCCGGCACUGAGAUCAGGAAGCGAGUGACCAGGGCAGCGCUGCCCGCUGCGCUCCUCCACGGCGAUUCUUGUUGGGAGCCACGGCCUGGUCGGGGAGAUGCCUGGCAUUUGCCAGAGGGAAUGUUUGAAAGGUGACGCCAGCGAACCAUUGAGAUGAUUUGAGUCAAGCUGUAUGUAACUGCUGUGAUGCUGGAUUGAUGGUCUUGUAUAUUUGACCUUCACUGUCGGGCCAAGGGACGGCUCUUGCUGCCUCGGGCGCCCGCUGCUUUGGAGCUCUCGUGGGGAUUCCUGGAGGGUUUGCGUUGGUUGGGGAAGGUCUGGAGGAGGGAUUUCUGGUUGGUGAGGGGUGUGCCUGGAGGAGCUGUGUGUGUGGCGUUCGGGAGAGGUUCCCGGGGAGCGUGUGUGGAGUGUGCUGGUGGAGUUUGGAAAUAAAGUUUGUUCCUGCUUGAGUG
RNAcentral lists this long non-coding RNA (662 nucleotides) under Marmota monax (woodchuck). The record is from RNAcentral. Lineage: Eukaryota; Metazoa; Chordata; Mammalia; Rodentia; Sciuridae.